GACGAACUUUGGCGGCGUGCUUAACACAUGCAAGUCGAACGGAAAGGCCCUGCUUUUGUGGGGUGCUCGAGUGGCGAACGGGUGAGUAACACGUGAGUAACCUGCCCUUGACUUUGGGAUAACUUCAGGAAACUGGGGCUAAUACCGGAUAGGAGCUCCUGCUGCAUGGUGGGGGUUGGAAUGUUUCGGCGGUUGGGGAUGGACUCGCGGCUUAUCAGCUUGUUGGUGGGGUAGUGGCUUACCAAGGCUUUGACGGGUAGCCGGCCUGAGAGGGUGACCGGCCACAUUGGGACUGAGAUACGGCCCAGACUCCUACGGGAGGCAGCAGUGGGGAAUAUUGCACAAUGGGCGGAAGCCUGAUGCAGCAACGCCGCGUGCGGGAUGACGGCCUUCGGGUUGUAAACCGCUUUCGCCUGUGACGAAGCGUGAGUGACGGUAAUGGGUAAAGAAGCACCGGCUAACUACGUGCCAGCAGCCGCGGUGAUACGUAGGGUGCGAGCGUUGUCCGGAUUUAUUGGGCGUAAAGGGCUCGUAGGUGGUUGAUCGCGUCGGAAGUGUAAUCUUGGGGCUUAACCCUGAGCGUGCUUUCGAUACGGGUUGACUUGAGGAAGGUAGGGGAGAAUGGAAUUCCUGGUGGAGCGGUGGAAUGCGCAGAUAUCAGGAGGAACACCAGUGGCGAAGGCGGUUCUCUGGGCCUUUCCUGACGCUGAGGAGCGAAAGCGUGGGGAGCGAACAGGCUUAGAUACCCUGGUAGUCCACGCUGUAAACGGUGGGUACUAGGUGUGGGGUCCAUUCCACGGGUUCCGUGCCGUAGCUAACGCUUUAAGUACCCCGCCUGGGGAGUACGGCCGCAAGGCUAAAACUCAAAGGAAUUGACGGGGCCCCGCACAAGCGGCGGAGCAUGCGGAUUAAUUCGAUGCAACGCGUAGAACCUUACCUGGGUUUGACAUGGAUCGGGAGUGCUCAGAGAUGGGUGUGCCUCUUUUGGGGUCGGUUCACAGGUGGUGCAUGCCUGUCGUCAGCUCGUGUCGUGAGAUGUUGGGUUAAGUCCCGCAACGAGCGCAACCCUUGUUCACUGUUGCCAGCACGUUAUGGUGGGGACUCAGUGGAGACCGCCGGGGUCAACUCGGAGGAAGGUGGGGAUGACGUCAAGUCAUCAUGCCCCUUAUGUCCAGGGCUUCACGCAUGCUACAAUGGCUGGUACAGAGAGUGGCGAGCCUGUGAGGGUGAGCGAAUCUCGGAAAGCCGGUCUCAGUUCGGAUUGGGGUCUGCAACUCGACCUCAUGAAGUCGGAGUCGCUAGUAAUCGCAGAACAGCAACGCUGCGGUGAAUACGUUCCCGGGGCU
Molecule: ribosomal RNA, 1346 nt
Filed under: uncultured bacterium
Lineage: Bacteria
Description: partial 16S ribosomal RNA
Rfam family: Bacterial small subunit ribosomal RNA
Source: RNAcentral